Molecule: long non-coding RNA, 4787 nt
Organism: Brassica napus (rape)
Lineage: Eukaryota; Viridiplantae; Streptophyta; Magnoliopsida; Brassicales; Brassicaceae
Exons: 2
Source: RefSeq, a predicted model, not a curated record
UUGGAGAUAUGGUUGAGAAAGUAAUAAAGAGAGAAAAAGGAAGAAGCGAUGGGGAAGAGACAAGUACGAAGAUGCUUUACUCGAAGAGGCAUGAAGAGAUAAGAGUUGAGCCACUUUUUCUCUCAGAUUCUUUGUUUCCUCUUUUACCUUUUUCAUCCUUCUAAUGGUUAUAUUCUCCUUGCAUCCGUCAUCCAUGAUUGAGCUCACUACACCCACAAAAAGAAAUUGUAUAUUAACCCUAAUAUUCUUCUCCUUAUCCCUUAUAACUCUAAUUUUUAGGUCAUUUUUUUUCAUGUUUCUUUUCUGACUAUGGGUCAUAGCUAUAUGUUAGCUACCGGGAACAUUUUUAUAUGCUCAUGAACCGACAUUUAAAUUUUGAUAAAAAAAUUAAUAUAUGUAAAUUGUAACUUAUUCAAGUAAUCUUCGUACAACAUCAACUAGAAGUUUGAUAUUAUAAACUUUGUCUAUUGCUUCCAUAUAAUCUUAUGCUGUUCUGCUAGAAAGUAAGAUCGAUUAAGAUAUUUUUGUGAAAUUAAUUCACUUCUACAAUGGAAACAUAGACUUGGGCCAGGAGUUUUUGCUCCUAAGAGGCAUGAAGAUAUGGUUGAGAAAGUAAUAAAGAGAAAAAAGGAAGAAGCUAUGGGGAAGCGACAAGUACGAAGAUGCUUUACUCAAAGAGGCAUGAAGAGAUAAGAAUUAAGGGGUUAUUUUCUUAACUUGUUGAACCAACCUAGUUUUUUUUUCCUCUUUCUAGUAUUGUUGUUUAAAUUUAGUUAAAACAAUGUACAUGCGGACAUCUUUCUUAUCUUUAUUUUGUUUGUCGAUAUUAUAUUUCUUAUAUAGUACUAAUAUGUGAAAUGUUAUUACACUAGAGGAUUUUGUAUUUUUGUUAGAAAUAACAUGUACAAAUGAGUAUGAUCUUUUUUUUGAACACAUACAAAUGAGCAUGAUCGAAAAAUAAAACAACACGAAAGAAACACAAGACAGUCAACCCAUUUACUGCUCAGAGGUCUCUUAUGGCAACUGUCUGACAACAACAAAGGAGUCGAACCUUACUUUUUUACUUCCUUUGCUAGCUUUUUAAUAGUAAAGACUAGUAGUCACACAAAAAUGACAGAAUUUAAAUCAGCUUGGCAGAAACGUAACUGUAUAUCAAUUACAGUAGAAUUAGUCUAUUGAUUUUGUUUCUGUUUCUCUAUUUUUAUAAAAGAAGAAAAACUACAGCCUUAAAAUAACUGUUUCGAAAAAGAAAAAGAAAACAUGAUGAUAAACAUGCCAAUAUGACUAUGAGUUGGAGAUAUACCCACCAACAGCUCGUAAAGUUUGACUAUAUAAUCUUUGUAGAAAUAAUGUACAAGAUUCCACCCUUAUAUGUAGUUUACAGAAUAUACAAAAUUGAGGAAGAAAGGAGAUCGAACCAUACAUUCUAUAUACAUAUAUGUAAUAUUUUGUGCUAUUUUUUUGUUACCAUAAGAUUUCAAACCAAAUUAAAUUUUGUCAUUAUUCUAAAUAUACAGCUUGUAUAACAAAAACUUAUAGUAUAAGAAAUGCAAGACACGAAAAUUGAUAUAUAUAUAUAUAUAUAUAUAGGAUAACUAUGCUAUUAUAUGAAAAAUAUUAUUUACGAUUUUAUUGCCGAUAAUUCUACCUACCUUAUGAGGAAUCACGACUGAUUGCAUCAUUUUGAGCCACCCCAUGAUAUUCACUUUUGACGGUACUCUUUGCUACAUAUUGUAGAGUUUUUGUAGCAUUUUCUCCAUUAACCACAUAAUUCGCCUUUGCUAGAAUUUAAAAUUCAUACUUUUUAAUGUAGAAUCAUUAGUAAACAUUUAGUUAAACCACUUGAAUAAGGGGAUUUUCACGCACAAAAUUGAUAGUUAAAAGAAUUUUUUUAUAUCCAAAUAAUAGAAUCAAGGACCGCUCUUUUUCACUCGGCUUCUCAUAACAUAAAAUAAUUUUCUUACCAAUACAUAAGUAUAAGAUUUACUCUAUAUGGCAUUGAAUAUGGAACCUGGGACAGCACGGCAUCUUUCUUUUGCUGGUCGUCUGCAGCUUAUUGGCUCAGUGGGGACAGAUGAUGCAGGUUCUGAUGGAUGGUUUACAUGACAAAACUAGUACCUUUCUUCUCCGGUACAGCUUUCAAGCUACUGUGUAUGUCAUAUGGCAUGAACAAAACGUGCGUUGAGAGACCCUCCUUCAUUGACAAGUUGGUCUGAAACCGAAUUUGUUUGAGUAGGAGAGGAGGUGGAAGGAAACACGAAAAAGCCAUGGUUCUAUGGUUUGCUAGUCGAUGAAUUCACUUCAUUUUUAGCUAGUUCUUUCAGCUCAAUUUACUUACUCAAACAAUAGUUGUUUGAUUCUAAUAUUUUAUUCUUGAGGUGAGUAACUUUAAAAUUCAUUAAAAAUAAGAAUAUGGAACCUGGGAAAAUAAAUAAAUAACACAGAUAUUUAAAAACUAUACUCUAUACUUCAUCAGUGUUUAAAAUAAUUAGAUUCACGCUAAGAUCCGAUUUAACUCUAUAUCGCCCAAAUGUAGUAACUAAUAUAAUUAUGACUAUAACACCCAAUCUCAAAAAAAAAAACACCCAAUCUCAAUCAUAUGUUAUCUCUCUCUUUCUAGUUGCUAACUCAACUUUACUUUUGCAGCAUCACCCAUCAUAGCCUCACGGCUAUAUUGAAGCCAUCUUCUCAUGGACAUACUGAAUUCUGAAAUGUGUUGUAAUUUUUUUCUUGGCAGAACUAAUGACGAUUUUAUAUACUUUAACAGAUCUUGAUAUCUUUACUCGGUGAUAUGGUGACUAUAUUAUGCUUCCAAUAAGAUGUUCCGUGAGUAAUAACUAUUCAAUAUAUCAUCUCUAUAUUAUGCUUCCAGUAAAAUAUUGAUUUUUAAACAAUUUUUUUUUUACUUUUGAUUCUUUAGUAGAACUAUGAUUUUCUUUCACUCUUUAUAUAUAAAAACAUUGAGUGAAACUUUGCUUAAAGAUUUGUCUGUCAAUUCAUGAUUUGAAUUACAGUUAAACCUAGUUAAAUGAUUUCCAAAAUUUAUCUAGAACUUCGAUUUCUUCGUAUAGAGGGCCAUGGUCGUCAUAUGCGUGGACAUUGAUGCGGUAGCUAAUCACGGCGGUCGUGUCGGAUUGACAAGGAAAGAUGGAAAAUAAUAUCGGAAAGUCAGACUUUGGUUUUAUUUUUAUCUGAUUUGAGAAAGAAUAGCAAAGUUAAAUCACUAACUAGAAAAAAUCGACAGGUUCCCUUUAAAAAUAUUACCCCAGGUGCUUGUAUAAUGCUAAGAAUUUCACCACUACUUGUAGGUAAUCAAUCUGUGGUAGAGUAGUAAGAGCACACUAGCUAGCUACAUGCUAAUAUUACACUUAAAUAUGAUAUUAGCAUAACCAUCUACACGUAUUUUGAUGUAAUUUUCUAGAAUACGUGAUUUAUUAUAUUAAAAAGUGUUUGGGUUCUAGUUCUACCACAAAUGUUUCAGGAUUCACUAUAUAUUUUUGUAUAUGUUAUGUAUAUAUAUAUUCUAUCAUCUUUUCUUUCCAAAUAACCAUUACUGUUGGCUAGUUCUCAGCCGCUUCGUUUCCCAUGCAAUUGUCGACGACAAUUGGUACGCGCAAUUUAAACAAGUGGAUCCGCAACAAUGUCGCCGACUCGCCUCCACCACAAAAGCUAUUUAAAAGUCUAUUGACCGUGUUCACGAUGUAUUGUUCGCCAAAAGGAACGUAAAAAGUUUGUUGAUAUAAUGCGCAACUGGUUCACAUUAGUAGGUCAUUUUCCCUAGGUUCUUUCUUGUUUUUAGGUUUUUGAUUUUCUUUUCCGAAGAAUUUUUGUUGCCAGUUAAGCUUAUUUUGUUUUCCUUUCUUGUAUUUACAAACUCUGCUUAGAUAGAGAAACAAUCGUUCUAAUUAGAAAAAUACCAUUGUUUUCAUUUCCUUUUAAGAUAUUUUUUCGAUGGAAGUACAACGUUACAAAUGAGCAAAACAAAGGAUUAGUUUACAUAUACAAAUUCAGCUUAUUACUGUAUUAUUACGAUAUAUAACACGAUUUACCAAAAUUAAGUUCAAAUUAAUACAGGUAUAUAAAUGUAUAAUUUUCCAAAGAGGCAAAUUUAUCUUACAAAUUAAAAGAUAAAUCGAAAAAGAAUGAACUCGAACAAUGGCCGGGAAUAAUAUAUUCGUCAACAAUAUAUUAUAAUUUUCAAAAGGAAGAGAAUUAAAAAGCCGUAUAUUCGAAGGAACCAAUUAUUUACAAGUGACAACAUUAUUCCAAAAUGGUUGAAUUAAACAGAUCAAUGCACUUGGAGCGCAGAAACCAUAUAUAUCGCUGCUCAAUAUGCGUCUAUAAAUAGUGGUUUCAAGAAAUCACCUCCUCAGUAUCAUCUCAUCAACGACUCUUUGGCUUCAUGUUGUAGGAGAAUCUUGUGACCAUGUCCCAAACCAAGUUCGUAUAGCCUUCAUCAAGAUGCUUAUACCCUUUCCCUUGGACUGAUAACAUUAUAAGAGGGGCCUUUUUGUCUACAAACUUAGUCAGGCUAUUCGCAUCACACGGUUGCUCACCAUGUCGACGCGAGUUACGCUCCCUCCAUAUACUGUGAACAGUGGCUUGAAAGGUAUAGCGUAGAAGAAAUACCUGUGUAGGAUUGUGUCUCGUAGUGGUGAUAAUGUCAAUUAUAUCAUCGCACGUUGGUGAUAAGUCCACUAAUACAUUAUUGCCUGAAGCAAUUAUGAACUUGUAAUGGCCAAAACACAAGUUUGGUUUCUCUAAUACCAAUAAUCAAUAUUCCAGUA